This 268-nucleotide small nucleolar RNA is filed under the name Xenopus laevis (African clawed frog). RNAcentral describes it as "Small Cajal body specific RNA 6". It matches the Rfam family "Small Cajal body specific RNA 6". From Rfam's summary of the family: U88 is small Cajal body specific RNA (scaRNA). scaRNAs are a novel class of small nuclear RNAs which localise to the Cajal bodies. U88 is found associated with both fibrillarin and Gar1p and co-localises with coilin in Cajal bodies. Lineage: Eukaryota; Metazoa; Chordata; Amphibia; Anura; Pipidae. The record is from Rfam by way of RNAcentral.
GGUCAGUGAUGAAUAGUAAAAGGUCUGACUGCCUAAAAAGUUCUCCUGUAUCCAGUUUCUCUCCCAGCAGCCUCUGUUUUCCCAUCAUGCUCCAGCUUUGCUUUGAUUGGCUACUUAAGCUGCUGACAGGUUUUGAUACUGAAUCCUGCAUUUCCAAAAGAAUGGGAAAGUGCAGUAACAAGUAUUGUACAUAGUUGCAUAAUAAAGGAGAGCAAGGAUCGGGGCUGAACUCUGUGCAGUACAUGAUAACAAGUUAGAAACUGAGACC